This is a small nucleolar RNA of Vicugna pacos (alpaca), 123 nucleotides long. Lineage: Eukaryota; Metazoa; Chordata; Mammalia; Artiodactyla; Camelidae. The record is from RefSeq and is a predicted model, not a curated record.
AAUUAUACCUAAUAAAACUGAAAAAGGAAAAAAAAAGAAAAAGAGCGAAGAGUGACAGUUUUCCUGGGUGGUUGCUGUUCUGUUUGCUGUAACCAAUCUGCAACAUUUCAGAAAAAGACAGUU